GGGUUGUGAGGUUAAGCGACUAAGCGUACACGGUGGAUGCCCUGGCAGUCAGAGGCGAUGAAGGACGUGCUAAUCUGCGAUAAGCGUCGGUAAGGUGAUAUGAACCGUUAUAACCGGCGAUUUCCGAAUGGGGAAACCCAGUGUGAUUCGUCACACUAUCAUUAACUGAAUCCAUAGGUUAAUGAGGCGAACCGGGGGAACUGAAACAUCUAAGUACCCCGAGGAAAAGAAAUCAACCGAGAUUCCCCCAGUAGCGGCGAGCGAACGGGGAGCAGCCCAGAGCCUGAAUCAGUGUGUGUGUUAGUGGAAGCGUCUGGAAAGGCGCGCGAUACAGGGUGACAGCCCCGUACACAAAAAUGCACAUGCUGUGAGCUCGAUGAGUAGGGCGGGACACGUGGUAUCCUGUCUGAAUAUGGGGGGACCAUCCUCCAAGGCUAAAUACUCCUGACUGACCGAUAGUGAACCAGUACCGUGAGGGAAAGGCGAAAAGAACCCCGGCGAGGGGAGUGAAAAAGAACCUGAAACCGUGUACGUACAAGCAGUGGGAGCCUCUUUUAUGGGGUGACUGCGUACCUUUUGUAUAAUGGGUCAGCGACUUAUAUUCUGUAGCAAGGUUAACCGAAUAGGGGAGCCGAAGGGAAACCGAGUCUUAACUGGGCGUUAAGUUGCAGGGUAUAGACCCGAAACCCGGUGAUCUAGCCAUGGGCAGGUUGAAGGUUGGGUAACACUAACUGGAGGACCGAACCGACUAAUGUUGAAAAAUUAGCGGAUGACUUGUGGCUGGGGGUGAAAGGCCAAUCAAACCGGGAGAUAGCUGGUUCUCCCCGAAAGCUAUUUAGGUAGCGCCUCGUGAAUUCAUCUCCGGGGGUAGAGCACUGUUUCGGCAAGGGGGUCAUCCCGACUUACCAACCCGAUGCAAACUGCGAAUACCGGAGAAUGUUAUCACGGGAGACACACGGCGGGUGCUAACGUCCGUCGUGAAGAGGGAAACAACCCAGACCGCCAGCUAAGGUCCCAAAGUCAUGGUUAAGUGGGAAACGAUGUGGGAAGGCCCAGACAGCCAGGAUGUUGGCUUAGAAGCAGCCAUCAUUUAAAGAAAGCGUAAUAGCUCACUGGUCGAGUCGGCCUGCGCGGAAGAUGUAACGGGGCUAAACCAUGCACCGAAGCUGCGGCAGCGACACUAUGUGUUGUUGGGUAGGGGAGCGUUCUGUAAGCCUGUGAAGGUGUACUGUGAGGUAUGCUGGAGGUAUCAGAAGUGCGAAUGCUGACAUAAGUAACGAUAAAGCGGGUGAAAAGCCCGCUCGCCGGAAGACCAAGGGUUCCUGUCCAACGUUAAUCGGGGCAGGGUGAGUCGACCCCUAAGGCGAGGCCGAAAGGCGUAGUCGAUGGGAAACAGGUUAAUAUUCCUGUACUUGGUGUUACUGCGAAGGGGGGACGGAGAAGGCUAUGUUGGCCGGGCGACGGUUGUCCCGGUUUAAGCGUGUAGGCUGGUUUUCCAGGCAAAUCCGGAAAAUCAAGGCUGAGGCGUGAUGACGAGGCACUACGGUGCUGAAGCAACAAAUGCCCUGCUUCCAGGAAAAGCCUCUAAGCAUCAGGUAACAUCAAAUCGUACCCCAAACCGACACAGGUGGUCAGGUAGAGAAUACCAAGGCGCUUGAGAGAACUCGGGUGAAGGAACUAGGCAAAAUGGUGCCGUAACUUCGGGAGAAGGCACGCUGAUAUGUAGGUGAAGUCCCUCGCGGAUGGAGCUGAAAUCAGUCGAAGAUACCAGCUGGCUGCAACUGUUUAUUAAAAACACAGCACUGUGCAAACACGAAAGUGGACGUAUACGGUGUGACGCCUGCCCGGUGCCGGAAGGUUAAUUGAUGGGGUCAGCGCAAGCGAAGCUCUUGAUCGAAGCCCCGGUAAACGGCGGCCGUAACUAUAACGGUCCUAAGGUAGCGAAAUUCCUUGUCGGGUAAGUUCCGACCUGCACGAAUGGCGUAAUGAUGGCCAGGCUGUCUCCACCCGAGACUCAGUGAAAUUGAACUCGCUGUGAAGAUGCAGUGUACCCGCGGCAAGACGGAAAGACCCCGUGAACCUUUACUAUAGCUUGACACUGAACAUUGAGCCUUGAUGUGUAGGAUAGGUGGGAGGCUUAGAAGUGUGGACGCCAGUCUGCAUGGAGCCGACCUUGAAAUACCACCCUUUAAUGUUUGAUGUUCUAACGUUGACCCGUGAUCCGGGUUGCGGACAGUGUCUGGUGGGUAGUUUGACUGGGGCGGUCUCCUCCUAAAGAGUAACGGAGGAGCACGAAGGUUGGCUAAUCCUGGUCGGACAUCAGGAGGUUAGUGCAAUGGCAUAAGCCAGCUUGACUGCGAGCGUGACGGCGCGAGCAGGUGCGAAAGCAGGUCAUAGUGAUCCGGUGGUUCUGAAUGGAAGGGCCAUCGCUCAACGGAUAAAAGGUACUCCGGGGAUAACAGGCUGAUACCGCCCAAGAGUUCAUAUCGACGGCGGUGUUUGGCACCUCGAUGUCGGCUCAUCACAUCCUGGGGCUGAAGUAGGUCCCAAGGGUAUGGCUGUUCGCCAUUUAAAGUGGUACGCGAGCUGGGUUUAGAACGUCGUGAGACAGUUCGGUCCCUAUCUGCCGUGGGCGCUGGAGAACUGAGGGGGGCUGCUCCUAGUACGAGAGGACCGGAGUGGACGCAUCACUGGUGUUCGGGUUGUCAUGCCAAUGGCACUGCCCGGUAGCUAAAUGCGGAAGAGAUAAGUGCUGAAAGCAUCUAAGCACGAAACUUGCCCCGAGAUGAGUUCUCCCUGAGACUAUAAGUCUCCUGAAGGAACGUUGAAGACGACGACGUUGAUAGGCCGGGUGUGUAAGCGCAGCGAUGCGUUGAGCUAACCGGUACUAAUGAACCGUGAGGCUUAACCUUACAACGCCGAAG
Molecule: ribosomal RNA, 2924 nt
Filed under: Escherichia coli
Lineage: Bacteria; Pseudomonadati; Pseudomonadota; Gammaproteobacteria; Enterobacterales; Enterobacteriaceae
Description: 23S ribosomal RNA
Rfam family: Bacterial large subunit ribosomal RNA
Source: RNAcentral